GCCCUGGCAGUCAGAGGCGAUGAAGGACGUGCUAAUCUGCGAUAAGCGUCGGUAAGGUGAUAUGAACCGUUAUAACCGGCGAUUUCCGAAUGGGGAAACCCAGUGUGUUUCGACACACUAUCAUUAACUGAAUCCAUAGGUUAAUGAGGCGAACCGGGGGAACUGAAACAUCUAAGUACCCCGAGGAAAAGAAAUCAACCGAGAUUCCCCCAGUAGCGGCGAGCGAACGGGGAGCAGCCCAGAGCCUGAAUCAGUGUGUGUGUUAGUGGAAGCGUCUGGAAAGGCGCGCGAUACAGGGUGACAGCCCCGUACACAAAAAUGCACAUACUGUGAGCUCGAUGAGUAGGGCGGGACACGUGGUAUCCUGUCUGAAUAUGGGGGGACCAUCCUCCAAGGCUAAAUACUCCUGACUGACCGAUAGUGAACCAGUACCGUGAGGGAAAGGCGAAAAGAACCCCGGCGAGGGGAGUGAAAAAGAACCUGAAACCGUGUACGUACAAGCAGUGGGAGCACGCUUAGGCGUGUGACUGCGUACCUUUUGUAUAAUGGGUCAGCGACUUAUAUUCUGUAGCAAGGUUAACCGAAUAGGGGAGCCGAAGGGAAACCGAGUCUUAACUGGGCGUUAAGUUGCAGGGUAUAGACCCGAAACCCGGUGAUCUAGCCAUGGGCAGGUUGAAGGUUGGGUAACACUAACUGGAGGACCGAACCGACUAAUGUUGAAAAAUUAGCGGAUGACUUGUGGCUGGGGGUGAAAGGCCAAUCAAACCGGGAGAUAGCUGGUUCUCCCCGAAAGCUAUUUAGGUAGCGCCUCGUGAAUUCAUCUCCGGGGGUAGAGCACUGUUUCGGCAAGGGGGUCAUCCCGACUUACCAACCCGAUGCAAACUGCGAAUACCGGAGAAUGUUAUCACGGGAGACACACGGCGGGUGCUAACGUCCGUCGUGAAGAGGGAAACAACCCAGACCGCCAGCUAAGGUCCCAAAGUCAUGGUUAAGUGGGAAACGAUGUGGGAAGGCCCAGACAGCCAGGAUGUUGGCUUAGAAGCAGCCAUCAUUUAAAGAAAGCGUAAUAGCUCACUGGUCGAGUCGGCCUGCGCGGAAGAUGUAACGGGGCUAAACCAUGCACCGAAGCUGCGGCAGCGACGCUGAUGCGUUGUUGGGUAGGGGAGCGUUCUGUAAGCCUGUGAAGGUGUGCUGUGAGGCAUGCUGGAGGUAUCAGAAGUGCGAAUGCUGACAUAAGUAACGAUAAAGCGGGUGAAAAGCCCGCUCGCCGGAAGACCAAGGGUUCCUGUCCAACGUUAAUCGGGGCAGGGUGAGUCGACCCCUAAGGCGAGGCCGAAAGGCGUAGUCGAUGGGAAACAGGUUAAUAUUCCUGUACUUGGUGUUACUGCGAAGGGGGGACGGAGAAGGCUAUGUUGGCCGGGCGACGGUUGUCCCGGUUUAAGCGUGUAGGCUGGUUUUCCAGGCAAAUCCGGAAAACUAAGGCUGAGGCGUGAUGACGAGGCACUACGGUGCUGAAGCAACAAAUGCCCUGCUUCCAGGAAAAGCCUCUAAGCAUCAGGUAACAUCAAAUCGUACCCCAAACCGACACAGGUGGUCAGGUAGAGAAUACCAAGGCGCUUGAGAGAACUCGGGUGAAGGAACUAGGCAAAAUGGUGCCGUAACUUCGGGAGAAGGCACGCUGAUAUGUAGGUGAAGCGACUUGCUCGUGGAGCUGAAAUCAGUCGAAGAUACCAGCUGGCUGCAACUGUUUAUUAAAAACACAGCACUGUGCAAACACGAAAGUGGACGUAUACGGUGUGACGCCUGCCCGGUGCCGGAAGGUUAAUUGAUGGGGUCAGCGCAAGCGAAGCUCUUGAUCGAAGCCCCGGUAAACGGCGGCCGUAACUAUAACGGUCCUAAGGUAGCGAAAUUCCUUGUCGGGUAAGUUCCGACCUGCACGAAUGGCGUAAUGAUGGCCAGGCUGUCUCCACCCGAGACUCAGUGAAAUUGAACUCGCUGUGAAGAUGCAGUGUACCCGCGGCAAGACGGAAAGACCCCGUGAACCUUUACUAUAGCUUGACACUGAACAUUGAGCCUUGAUGUGUAGGAUAGGUGGGAGGCUUUGAAGUGUGGACGCCAGUCUGCAUGGAGCCGACCUUGAAAUACCACCCUUUAAUGUUUGAUGUUCUAACGUUGACCCGUGAUCCGGGUUGCGGACAGUGUCUGGUGGGUAGUUUGACUGGGGCGGUCUCCUCCUAAAGAGUAACGGAGGAGCACGAAGGUUGGCUAAUCCUGGUCGGACAUCAGGAGGUUAGUGCAAUGGCAUAAGCCAGCUUGACUGCGAGCGUGACGGCGCGAGCAGGUGCGAAAGCAGGUCAUAGUGAUCCGGUGGUUCUGAAUGGAAGGGCCAUCGCUCAACGGAUAAAAGGUACUCCGGGGAUAACAGGCUGAUACCGCCCAAGAGUUCAUAUCGACGGCGGUGUUUGGCACCUCGAUGUCGGCUCAUCACAUCCUGGGGCUGAAGUAGGUCCCAAGGGUAUGGCUGUUCGCCAUUUAAAGUGGUACGCGAGCUGGGUUUAGAACGUCGUGAGACAGUUCGGUCCCUAUCUGCCGUGGGCGCUGGAGAACUGAGGGGGGCUGCUCCUAGUACGAGAGGACCGGAGUGGACGCAUCACUGGUGUUCGGGUUGUCAUGCCAAUGGCACUGCCCGGUAGCUAAAUGCGGAAGAGAUAAGUGCUGAAAGCAUCUAAGCACGAAACUUGCCCCGAGAUGAGUUCUCCCUGACUCCUUGAGAGUCCUGAAGGAACGUUGAAGACGACGACGUUGAUAGGCCGGGUGUGUAAGCGCAGCGAUGCGUUGAGCUAACCGGUACUAAUGAACCGUGAGGCUUAACCUUACAAC
RNAcentral lists this ribosomal RNA (2880 nucleotides) under Escherichia coli. RNAcentral's name for it is "partial 23S ribosomal RNA". It matches the Rfam family "Bacterial large subunit ribosomal RNA". The record is from RNAcentral. Lineage: Bacteria; Pseudomonadati; Pseudomonadota; Gammaproteobacteria; Enterobacterales; Enterobacteriaceae.